CCCAACUCUCUCAUCUUUUCAAGCUCCUCUUCCCCUUUCACUGUUCUUUUGCUUCCAUCUUCUUAGUAGUGACAAAGAUAUUACUUCCCCUCUCUGUCCCCUUUAGGGCGCGAAAACCCCAAAUUAAUAUUUGCAGAGUUGCAGCUGCGAAAUGGAGGUGACGAACCUCAGCAAACAAUUGAUUUCACUUGCAGUCCAAAGAUGUCGAUUAUCAGGAGAUCCCUGGAGAAUUUCCGUCUUCCUCCGACAAAUCACGGUUUCCGAUUCCGUCUUCACUCAAAUCUCAAUUUUCUUCUCCAUCUCGGAGUUCGAUUUGGCCGCACUCGCUUCCAAUCUUGACCGGACGGAGCGGCAGAUGAUGACGCAAAAUAGCUUUGUUGCGGCCUUGCGGGUGAUUUUGGUUCUACAGAGUCCCACAAUGUCUAAUUAGGUGGCGAUUUUAGCAUCCAGGAUGAUGGAACGAUCGUGUUUUUGUUUUGGGAGCACGAGGUGCUACUGGUCUAGAACUUACGGUUGGGAGUAAGAUUUUGAGGUGUCAGGACGAUCCUUCUGCGGGUAACAUUGGACUAUCUCCAAGGUCUCAAGGUUGGGAAUUUCUUGAUCAUAAAAGAAGGAAAAAUAAGAUACAGUGACUUCAUCGACAAGGAGUUGAAAUUCCAUACAUUUGUUGAUGGGCUAUAAAGCCCACCUAGAGAAAAGUUCUCUUCUCUGCUUUUAAGAAGAACUUGACCAAAGAGAUCAGAGUUUCUCAGUUCAACGAUUAUGUGUCCAAGAAAUCAGCUAACCAUCAUGGUGAAGCUAGCAUACAGAGUACAAUUGUUGAUAUGGCACAGAGUAUCGUGGGUGAAAAUAACCUUAAUCUUCUCAUGCCAAAUGGACAGUUUGGUAUAUGUAAUCUGGGAGGAGAGGAUGCUGCCAGUGUCAGAUAGAUGUACACAAGGCUGGCUGAAAUCACCAGGGAAUUGCCAGGAAAGACACUGGAAUCACUUCACAUUUAGUGGAACUAUUGAGGUAGUGGAUGAAGACAGUGCAAAUGAUGCAAGUGAAGGUGGCGAUGUAACUCUCAGAAUCACUGAACUGCCAGUUCGGAAGUGGACUCGAGAUUAUAAGG
This is a long non-coding RNA of Spinacia oleracea (spinach), 1111 nucleotides long. RefSeq lists it as uncharacterized. NCBI's taxonomy places the organism in Eukaryota, Viridiplantae, Streptophyta, Magnoliopsida, Caryophyllales, Amaranthaceae. The transcript is spliced from 6 exons. The record is from RefSeq and is a predicted model, not a curated record.